Molecule: non-coding RNA, 303 nt
Organism: Microcebus murinus (gray mouse lemur)
Lineage: Eukaryota; Metazoa; Chordata; Mammalia; Primates; Cheirogaleidae
Source: RefSeq, a predicted model, not a curated record
UUUCAUUCACAUCUCAUUGGCCCACAAUGCCACAGGCUUCCCCUAACUCCAAGAGAGCAGAGAAGAGCAGUCUCCCUGUGUGCCUGGAGGGAGAACCAGAACUGUUGUGAUCUUACCCAAGAAUGAGAGGAUGAAGAGUGACACAGAAAAAUGGAUCUUCACAUAUUUUUCCAUGAGAAGUCUAGAUUACUUGAGACCAGUGAUACUAAUUAGGCUUGGCUGCCUCAGCAGGAUAAAGCAAAUCAACCAAUCUACUUUUGGAAGCAGAAGAUGGGAAAGUGGCUGCUCCUGAGCUCACUGUGC